Molecule: non-coding RNA, 9960 nt
Organism: Paramuricea clavata
Lineage: Eukaryota; Metazoa; Cnidaria; Anthozoa; Malacalcyonacea; Plexauridae
Source: the annotation of a GenBank genome assembly
AUGCUAAAGUAGGGCGCAUUUUGGCACAUUGCAGUUUAAUGGGUUAUAAGAGAGAGAAAUUCUGCCCAGCAUGGCUGGUCUGACCAUUUCAAAUGGAAAGCGUGCUUUGUGUCUUUUUUGUAAAUAUAUCCAGUCCUUGCAAUAUGAUUAUGAACUUUAGCUAAAUUGAGGACUUUAUGUAAAUUUGUAUGCGGCAUAUAACAAAGUACGCAUUAUCAAAGUUGAGUUAUAGAAUUAUAGUGGCAUGCAGUCAUUGUUUGUUUUAUUAGGUUAACUAGUGCAUGUAGUGAUUAAGAAUCAAAUAAGGCCAAAUAAAAAAAAAUACUUGGUUAGCGUCACACUCUCACAAAUUUUCAGAGGCGGGCGGGCGGAUUUUUUUUUAAAUUUUUACUCGUUUUUUAAUUUUUUAAUAGUAUUUUUGGAGGGGAUGGGGGGCGGUUUUCCACCAUAUCGGUGAUAUUUUUUGUACUGAUGUUGCGAAGGCCGCCAUUUUGCUUUAAGAACCUUGUAUUCCCAAGCCUACGCGCUCCUAUCGAUCAGUAUGUAGCGCGAAGGUCUGAGCAUGAGAAAAAUUUCAAAUAUUAAACUUUAUUAAGCUGUAAAACGAAGAGAUUUACAUGAAAACAAAUUAAAAAAAAAUCAGAGGCGGCAGAAAAUCGAGAGGCGGGCGGUGACGCUAACCAAGUAUUUUUUUUUAUUUGGCCUAAUAACAAAUAUAUGCACAAAAUAUUUAGAUUUAUAUAACCAGUAAAAUAUCGUGUUAGUUUUCAUAGGUAUAUAGUAAAAUAUUUCAUAUGGAUAUUUAAUAAAAGUAUUUGCUUAAAACAGGCUCUCAUAAAUGUUUCCGAAUUUCUUUAACUUUCCCCAAAAUUCCUUACAUUACUUCAUUCAGUUUAAUGUGAUUUCCGCUCGACGAACGUAAAUCACAUAUUUGUACUUCAAAUUUAACCAGAUAAAAAAUCGAGAAUUCGGCAAUUUUUAAUUCUUGAAAUUCCUAAAGCUUUGAAUUCUUCAAAAAUUUCUCCCCACAAAAUUGAUUUGUAUACAUUGAGAUUUAUUUCAGCUCGAUUUAGGCGACGAAAUUUAACCUAGACUGGACUUAGGUUAGUUUGAACUAGCCUCUGGAAUAUGGUUCAAACUAACCCUGCUGAAACUCUAGACAGGCUUUUUUUACAUUUCAAAAACCUCACAUUGGUUAAAGUUAACUCACAUCGAACCUGGGUUAUUUUUCGUAGCGUAAAUCAAGCUUUCACUGGUAUUCACUGAAUACCACUAGAAUCACUAGACACAAAUCCAGGUCAAAGGUCCGUAAAAUAUUCAGCAGUUAAUAAUAGUUGUCAUAAUGAAACAGGAAACCAUGAUCAUGUUUGUAAAGCAGAUAUCGCAAUAUCAUUUUCCCAGAAUAGAUUGCUUUUACAAGGAAUACGACCUUGCCUUGUUCUCUCGUUACGUACAUUUGAAGUUGUGUUGGCGUCAUUUAUCAAACUCAAAAUCAUUCUCAGUGUAUUUAAACCGCUACAACAUGAGCGGCGAAGAUUUAUUAGCGAAAUUCGAUGACUUGGUGAAACGCUUCAGGAACGAAUUCAACGAUAUUAUUGAAGGGGAGCGAGCCAAAAUGAAGGCGGAACUACACGCUUACAACGCAGAGAAGCAAAGAAUGAAAGCCGUCGAAGUCAGCGACAACGAUAUCAUACACCUCAACGUUGGUGGUCACAAAUUGACCACAAAAAGAUCUACUCUUUGUCAAGUAGAAGGUUCGCUGCUCGCCUCAAUGUUCAGUGGACGUUGGGAGGACAGUCUCGAGCGCGAUCAAGAUGGCGCCAUAUUUUUCGAUUUCAAUCCCCAGUAUUUCGUUGUUAUAUUGGAUUACCUGCGCACGAAGAAAAUUGCGACACCAGAGAAUCCCACGCCAUUGCCGAAAGUUCCCGAAGACCAAGCAAAAAGUUUUAAUACUCUUCUGGAAUACCUCGGUUUAAGCGAUGAAAUCGUGCCCGCUGAAAAAGUGCCUAGCGAGAAAUUCAAUCAACACAGCAGCAAUGUAGUUACUCUUCAGGAAGGCGGGACAGUUGCAGUUCAUGGUCCAAUUUAUGGACAUAGUUAUGUUCUGGGAGAAAAUGUUCACCAACAAAGCAGUGUUCGUUUCAAGUUAAAGGUGGAGUCGUUUCAAACUAAAACAUGGAUGUUGGUUGGCGUAGUGAAAGCGGAUGUUGUACCACCGAAUAACAAUUCAUACUCAUGGCCUGGUUCAUAUGGAUGGGCACUCGGGCAGUAUGGCCAACUAUGGAAAGAAGGGUCACAUACGACUGAUAAUGCUUUAAAAAAUAUGACUAAACAAGGCGACACGGUUGAGUUAGUCUUGGAUUGCGAUGCUGCCAAGCUGUCACUACAUUUGCCCACUGGUCAACAAUUUCACAUGGAAAUACCCAAGUCACAAACCUGGAGACUGAAUGUGGAUUUGCGUGAUGCAAAUGACAAAGUACGCAUCAUCCAUGACAAUGUAUAGUCAAAUGUAAGACUUUAUUGCCUUUGUAAACCUAAACGAUCUUUGUCAGUGUAGGUAGUGGCAAUAAUAAGAAAGUCUCAGAUUGAUAGGGAUACAACUACCUGAAAAAUACAAGGAGAACAUCGAGGUUUUGAGCGAAGGCCCUUCGUCUUGUAUUUUCGGGUAGUUGUAUUUCUAUCAAUGUGAAGCUUUCUUUGUAAACCUAAUUUCUUACCAUAAGAACUACUCAUUAACAAUAUGACUGUAGAUAUACUCAAAUUAAACCCUUCACGUAAAUUUAAUAAAAUACAUCAUAGACGGUGGAACGCGGGGUAAAAUAUUAUCUAGGUAAAAUAGUUUGUAAAAAGCUAGAAACAUUAAUUCCCGCUUUCUUCGUUUAAUUAGGUUAAUUUGUGCAAUUAAAAAUCAAGUAAUAACAAAUAUAUAGACAAAAACUCUUCUUUAUUUUAAACUAUUACUUUUGCUAUUUAACUAAUAGGGAUAUGGCCCGUUGUAUUUUUUGUAGCAAGCAUGUAAGAAAUCAAUCGUGCACAAAAACAGUCAUAACAGACGCCUCUCAAAUACAAAGCUCUAAUACAGACAGCUUCAUACCCAGGUCUAAUACAAACACCUCUCUAAUUCAGACACCUCUCUAAUACAAACACCUCUCUAAUACAGAUACCUCUCUGAUACAGACACCUCUCUAAUACAGACACCUCUCUAAUACGGGGACACCUCUCUAAUACGGCGACACCUCUCUAAUACAGAAACCUCUCUAACACAGACACCUCUCUAAUACAGACACCUCUCUAAUACAGACACCUCUCUAACACAGACACUUCUCUAAUACACACAUCUCUCUAAUACAGACACCUCUCUAAUACAGACACAUCUCUAAUACAGACACCUCUCUAAUACAGACACCUCUCUAAUACAGACACAUCUCUAAUACAGACACCUCUCUAAUACAAACACCUCUCUAAUACACACAUCUCUCUAAUACAGACACCUCUCUAAUACAGGAACACACUUUGCUUGUACGUGGCCCACUCGUCAUCGACGCUCGUUACUUGCCGUUUCUUUCCCAUAUUGCGUCUUUACAUCCCGUAUUUUGGCUUUAAUAUCUUCAUCUUCAAUGGAAUGAUAACACCGAUAUUGAUAAUAAAUGUAAAAUAACAUUAAACAUUAUUCCAGACAGUGCCAAAGGUAAAUUGAUUUAAUAAGGCUAGAUAAUACAUUCAUAUAAACACAAGUUGACAAUGUAGGCAGAUGCAAAAAAAAAUAUUACUGAAGUUAUUUAUUUUAUUUAUAAAAGUCCAAUAAAUAUGGUAUCCAUAGUUAACUUUUGCCUUCGAGCUAGAGUCGUUAUUUUGACAUAGAAGAAUUAUUUGAACCAAUCGAAGAGUUGAAUAAUUCGCUUCAAUGGCUUUUACACGCCGACUGAUAGACUUUUGCUCCGUCUCUGAGACUUUCAGGCCAAGAUAAUUCAAUAAAGACUCGAUCAGCAUAAAAUCCAUGGUGUACUUUUUCUCACAUGUUUAACCCUUGUAUUUCUUUAAGAUUAUUGUUCUUCUAUACAUUUUACAUGUCAUAUCAGCAAAUAAAGGAGAAAUCAUUUGUACAACUCUUAAAAUACUCAUUUAUAUAAUUCAUAAACCUUGCAUGUAGCAAAUUAUGUCAGCCAUAAUAUGUCACGUGGAGUGACUUUAUAUAUGAUAAAUCUCAUCUUCAUUAGUAUUCUUUAUAUAAUAUGUUCAUCCUAAUUAGUAUUCUUUUGUAGUCGUAUUUUAUGCCAUUCAAAACACUCGUUGUCGUGUUUUAUGAGAUAUAAAACAUUCUUACUCGUGUUUUAAAUAGUACAUAAUAGAAAAGACAUCUUUGCAUUACGACAAUGCACGCGUAAAAGGUUUUUGAUUCACCUAAAAUACAAUGGGUUUUUUGUAUAUGAUCACUAGAUAGAUAUUUUUAGUAGGAUCCUUGUCAAAAAAUUCAAUAACGGUUGAGCAAUUGCGAUUGUUCUGCACUUGUCAUAUUUUCGAAACGAGUUCGGUGACCCCAAUAUUUUCCCUGUUUUUACUAUGGGCAUGUUUCAUAAACUUCACAUCUAGGAACUUUCAGCACAUUCGCAGUUUCCAGAAAAAUUACUAAUGAAUCAUCUUAAAAUUAAUGCUAAAUUGGUCCACCCUAAUCCGAUUUCCCUACAAUAAUUUAGCGCGUGUUUCAUUCAUUUUCCGUGUGUUUUUUCUCACAUAUAACGGACUUGGAUCAUUAACUCAGAUGUAAAUUCGCUCACUCAUAAGUUGCUUCGCUGAAAUUUUCCAAGCAACAUGCUCCAAUAGCCACAGCAGAAACAUUUGAUGAUCUAACUUCAAAAAGCUAGGAUGUGCCAAAAUAAAACAAUGCACCCGAAUGCAGUGAAAACUUGUUUUUUGGGACUAAAUUUGCUUUUAAUUUGGUAUUUAAAGAACAUGUAUAAUUCCGAAUUGGUGUAAAGCAAUGAAAUUGCUUUGUGGAAGUGACAUAUAAAAAUUUCAAAGUUGCGCCACGAGUUUCUCGUUUCCUUGCCCAAAUACAGUAAAAAAAAUAAACCGUCAUACCAGUCAUUUUGCAGGUUUAUUUUCAAUUUAUAUGUAAAUAUCAACUAAUCAACACAUAUUUAAAGAUUUGCGGCACACAGAAGUUCAGCUUGCCUUGUUUUCUCGUGACACACAUUUAAAGUUGCGUUGGCGUCUUUUAUCAAACUCGACGUGUAUGACGCAGAGAAGCAAAGAAUGGAUGCUGGCGAAGUUCCCAACGACGUUUUCAUACACCUCAACGUCGGUGGACAAAAAUUAAUCAGCAAAAGAUCCACUCUUUGUCAAGUAAAAGAUUCGUUUUUUGCUUCAAGGUUCAGUGGAAGAUGGCCGGAAGAUCGUGACAAACGAGACGACGAUGGCGCUGAGUUAUUCGAUGAUAACCCACAAUUUUUUGUUGCCAUUGUGAAUUAUCUGCGCGCCAAGAAAUAUGCCACCAAAGAGAAUCCCGCAUUGCCGCCGAAAGUCCCCAAAGAUCAAUUGGACGAUUUCGAAAAUUUUGUCGAGUACCUCAGGUUGAGUGAUGAAAUCAUCCCCCGUGAGAAAUUCAAUCAACACAGCCCUGGAGUUACUCUUGAGGAACACAGCAGAGUCGCCGUUCAUGAUCCAGAUAAAGCAGAGCAUAGAUACGUUCUUGGUCAAAAUAUUUACCGAGAAAAGACGCACAGUUUCAGGUUGGAAUUGGAGAUGUUUAAAGAUCAUUUUUGGAUGUUUGUUGGCAUUAUGAGAAACUGUGUUGUACCACCGAAUAACAAAUCACGUCGAUGGCCUGGUUCGUAUGGAUGGGCACUCGGGCAGCGUGGUCAAGUAUGGAAAGACGGGUCACCUACGAUUGAUAAUGCUUUAAAAAAUAAGACUAAACAAGGCGACACGGUUAAGUUAGUCUUGGAUUGCGAUGCUGCCAAGCUGUCACUACAUUUGUCCACAGGUCAACAAUUUCACAUCGAAAUACCCAAGUCACAAACCUGGAGAUUGCAUGUAAAUUUGCUUAAUCCAAACGACAGACUACGUAUUAUAAACGAAUAAUCAAAUCAAAGACUAUGGGCCUUUCCUAACCUGAGUAUCAGGCUCUACUCAGGUUAGGCCUUUCCAUAUUAGAGAGAUUCAGAUUUGAAAAAUCAAAUCAAAUCAGAUUAAUCUGAUAUAUCAAACGCAUCUGAUUGGUUAAACUGAUAUGUCAAACGUAUCUGAUUUGUUUAACCAUAUAUCAAAUUAACCAAUCAGAUGCGUUUGAUAUAUCAGAUUAACCAAUCAGAUGCGUAGUAAGCCAGUGAGAGGUAGUGAUAGUGAAAGUGAAAUCUGAAUCUCUCUAAUAACACUGUUAGACUGGUUAGAUCCAUCAAAUUGUUAAAUGGAAUAAAACAAUUUCGCUUCUGAGAUUGGUCUGACGGGAAAAUUUCGAUCAAAUCAACAUGAGGUCCAUUUUGAUCAAACGUCCGAAAACUUGGCCCAGAUAUUGCUUGAAAUCAUAACCCGUUAUAGUAUGCAAGACUCUCCCCUUGACGAGUAAAUUCAUCUGGCGUUAGACGAAGUAAAAUACUAAAGUAGGGCGCAUUUUGGCACAUUGCAGCUUAAUGGGUUAUAAGAGAGAUUCUGCCCAGCAUGGCUGGUCUGACCAUUUCAAAUGGAAAGCGUGCUUUGUGUCUUUUUUGUAAAUAUAUCCAGUCCUUGCAAUAUGAUUAUGAACUUUAGCUAAAUUGAUGACUUUAUGUAAAUUUGUAUGCGGAUAUAACAAAGUACGCAUUAUCAAAGUUGAGUUAUAGAAUUAUAGUGGCAUGCAGUCAUUGUUUGUUUUAUUAGGUUAACUAGUGCAUGUAGUGAUUAAGAAUCAAGUAAUAACAAAUAUAUGCACAAAAUAUUUAGAUUUAUAUAGCCAGUAAAAUAUCGUGUUAGUUUUCAUAGGUAGUAAAAUAUUUCAUAUUGAUAUUUAAUAAAAGUAUUUGCUUAAAACAGGCUCUCAUAAAUGUUUCCGAAUUUCUUUAACUUUCCCCAAAAUUCCUUACAUUACUUCAUUCAGUUUAAUGUGAUUUCCGCUCGACCAACGUAAAUCACAUAUGUGUACUUCAAAUUUAACCAGAUAAAAAAUCGAGAAUUCGGCAAUUUUUAAUUCUUGAAAUUCCUAAAGCUUUGAAUUCUUCAAAAAUUACACCCAAAAAAUUGAUUUGUAUACAUUGAGAUUUAUUUCAGCUCGAUUUACGCGACGAAAUUUAACAUAGACUGGACCCAGCUUAGUUUGAACUAUAGCCUUUGGAAUAUGAUUCAAACUAACUCUGCUGAAACUCUAGACAGGCUUUUUUUACAUUUCAAAAACCUCACAUUGGUUAAAGUUAACUUACAUCGAACCCGGGUUAUUUUUCGCCGCGUAAAUCAAGCUUUCACUGAUAUUCACUGAAUACCACUAGAAUCACUAGACACAAAUUCAGGUCAAAGGUCCGUAAAAUAUUCAGCAGUUAAUAAUAGUUGUCAUAAUGAAACAGGAAACCAUGAUCAUGUUUGUCAGUAUUUGCAUAAUAAAAGACAAAGCAGAUUUCGCAAUAUUAUUUUCACAGAAUAGAUUGCUUUUACAAGGAAUACGACCUUGCCUUGUUCUCUCGUUACGUACAUUUAAAGUUGUGUUCAGUUGGCGUCAUUUAUCAAACUCAAAAUCAUUCUCAGUGUAUUCACUAUGAGCAGUGAAGAUUUAUUAACAAAAUUCGAUGACUUGGUAAAGCGAUUCAGGAACGAAUUCAACGAUAUUAUUGAAGGGGAGCGAGCCAAAAUGAAAGCGGAACUAGACGCUUACAACGCAGAGAAGCAAAGAAUGAAAGCCGUCGAAGUCAGCGACAACGAUAUCAUACACCUCAACGUUGGUGGUCACAAAUUAACCACCAAGAGAUCUACUCUUUGUCAAGUAGAAGGUUCGGUGCUCGCCUCAAUGUUCAGUGGACGUUGGGAGGACAGUCUCGAGCGCGAUCAAGAUGGUACCAUAUUUUUCGAUUUCAAUCCCCAGUAUUUUCUUGUUAUAUUGGAUUACCUGCGCACGAAGAAAAUUGCGACACCAGAGAAUCCCACGCCAUUGCCGAAAGUCCCCGAAGAGCAAGCAAAAAGUUUUAAUACUCUUCUGGAAUACCUCGGUUUAAGCGAUGAAAUUGUGCCCGCUGAAAAAGUGCCUAGCGAGAAAUUCAAUCAACACAGCAGCAAUAUAGUUACUCUUCAGGAAGGCGGGACAGUUGCAGCUCAUGGUCCAAAUUAUGGGCAUAGUUAUGUUCUGGGAGAAAAUAUUUACCAACAAGGCAUUGUUCGUUUCAGGUUGAAGGUGGAGUCGCUUAAAAGUAAUGAAUGGAUGUUGGUUGGAAUAGUAAAAGGGGAUGUUGUACCACCGAAUAACAAUUCAUAUAAAUGGCCUGGUUCUUAUGGAUGGGGACUCGGGCAGCAUGGUAUAGUAUGGAAAGACGGGUCACAUACGAUUGAUAAUGCUUUAAAAAAUGUCACUAAACAAGGCGACACGGUUGAGUUAGUCUUGGAUUGCGAUGCUGCCAAGCUGUCACUACAUUUGCCCACUGGUCAACAAUUUCACAUCGAAAUACCCAAGUCACAAACCUGGAGACUGAAUGUGGAUUUGAGUUAUGCAAAUAACAAAGUACGCAUCAUCCAUGACAAUGUAUAGUCAAAUGAAAGACUUUAUUGUCUUUGUAAACCUAAACGAUCUUUGUCAGUGUAGGUAGUGGCAAUAAUAACAAAGUCUUGGAUUGAUAGGGAUACAACUACCUGAAAAAUACAAGGAGAACAACGAGGUUUCGAGCGAAGGCACUUCGUCUUGUAUUUUCAGGUAGUUGUAUUCCUAUCAAUGUGAAGCUUUCUUUAUAAACGUAACUUCUUACCACAAGAACUACUCGUUAACAAUACGACUGUAGAUAUAGUCAAAUUAAACACUUCAUCUAAAUUUGCUAAAAUGCACCAUGGACAGCGGAACAUGGUGCUAGGGGGUUUAUAGGCCUCCAAAAUUAAAAGUAGAGGGCUAAGCCCUACCCACCCCCCCCAAAAAAAAACAAAAAAAAACGGAUGAGAUUCAAAAUUUUGAAUUUAAUAUAAAAAAUUGGAAAAAUUCAGGAAAGAUGAAAAUAUCAUCAGUGAACAAUUCAGGAAAUAUUAAAAAUAUCUGGUAGGAAAGUAUGUUAGGUCCGGAAUGUUUUUUGCACCCUCCACCCCGAAAUAAAAACUGUUUCGCUUGUCAAAUCUGAAUUUCUCUAAUAACAUUGUCAGACUGAUUAGAUCCAUUAAAUGGAAUACAAAACUUUCGCUUCCGAGAUUGGCCUGACGGAAAAAUUUACAUCAAAUCAACACGAGGUCCAUUUUGAUCAGACGUGCGAAAACUUGGCCCAGAUCUUGCUUGAAAUUAUAACCCGUUAUAGUAUGCAAGACUCUCCCCUUGACGAGUAAAUUCAUCUGGCGUUACACAGAGUAAAAUACUAAAGUAGGGCGCAUUUUGGCAUAUUGCAGCUUAAUUAAUGGUUAUAAGAGAGAGAAAUUGUGCCCAGCAUGGCUGGUCUGACCAUUUCAAAUGGAAACGUGUUUUUUGUCUUUUUUGUAAAUAUAUCCAAGUCCUUGCAAUAUGAUUAUGAACUUUAGCUAAAUUGAGGACUUUAUGUAAAUUUGUAUUCGUCAUAUAACAAAGUGAGCAUUAUCAAAGUUGAGUUAUAGAAUUAUAGUGGGAUGCAGUCAUUGUUUGUUUUAUUAGGUUAACUAGUGCAUGUAGUGAUUAAGAAUCAAGUAAUAACAAAUAUAUGGACAAAAUAUUUAGAUUUAUAUACCAGUAAAAUAUCGUGUUAGUUAUCAUAGGUAGUAAAGUAUUUCAUAUUGAUGUUUAAUAAAAGUAUUUGUUUAAAACAGGCUCUCAUGAAAGUUUCUGAAUUUCUUUAGUUUUCC